RNAcentral lists this ribosomal RNA (838 nucleotides) under Dichotomopilus indicus. Its description in RNAcentral is "eukaryotic LSU rRNA". It matches the Rfam family "Eukaryotic large subunit ribosomal RNA", at positions 64 to 930 of the family's 3401-position model. Lineage: Eukaryota; Fungi; Ascomycota; Sordariomycetes; Sordariales; Chaetomiaceae. The record is from RNAcentral.
ACCAACCGCGUAUUCGCCCUAGUAACGGCGAGUGAAGCGGCAACAGCUCAAAUUUGAAAUCUGGCCUCGGCCCGAGUUGUAAUUUGCGGAGGAAGCUUUUGGGGCGGCACCUUCUGAGACCUCUGGAACGGGGCGCCCUAUAGGGGGAGAGCCCCGUAUAGUUGGAUGCCUAGCCUGUGUAAAGCUCCUUCUUCGAGUCGAGUAGUUUGGGAAUGCUGCUCAUAAUGGGAGGUAAAUUUCUUCUUAAGCUAAUUACCGGCCAGAGACCGAUAGCGCACAAGUAGAGUGAUCGAAAGAUGAAAAGCACUUUUUAAAGAGGGUUAAAAAGCACGUGAAAUUGUUGAAAGGGAAGCGCUUGUGACCAGACUUGCGCCGGGCUGAUCAUCCGGUGUUCUCACCGGUGCACUCGGCCCGGCACAGGCCACCAUCGGUUCUCGCGGGGGGAUAAAGGUCCCGGGAACAUGUCUCCUCCGGGAGUGUUAUUUCCCGGGGCGUAAUGCCCUCCCGGGGACCGAGGUUCGAGCAUCUGCCAGGAUGCUGGCGUAAUGGUCGUCAACGACCCAUCUUGAAACACACACCAAGGAGUCAAGGUUUUGCGCGAGUGAUUGGGUGUCAAACCCGCCCGCGCAAUGAAUGUGAACGAACGUGAGAGCUUCCGCCCAUCAUCCACCGAUCCUGAUGUUUUCUCACGGAUUUGUUUGAGAACGAUAUCCUUGGACCCCAAAGAUGGAGAACUAUGCUUGGCAUAGUGUGAAUCCAGACGAAACUCUCGCGGAGGGUCGCACCGGUUCUGACGUGCAAAUCUAUCGUCAAAUUCUAAAGUAUGGGGGGGGAAAGA